CACGUAGGCACCAAGCGUUGUCCGGAUUUAUUGGGCGUAAAGAGCUCGUAGGCGGUUGAGUAAGUCGGGUGUGAAAACUCUGGGCUUAACCCAGAGCCGCCACCCGAUACUGCUCUGACUUGAGUUCGGUAGGGGAGCAGGGAAUUCCUAGUGUAGCGGUGAAAUGCGCAGAUACUAGGAGGAACACCGGUGGCGAAGGCGCUGCUCUGGGCCGAUACUGACGCUGAGGAGCGAAAGCGUGGGUAGCAAACAGG
This 254-nucleotide ribosomal RNA is filed under the name uncultured bacterium. Its description in RNAcentral is "partial 16S ribosomal RNA". It matches the Rfam family "Bacterial small subunit ribosomal RNA", at positions 524 to 776 of the family's 1533-position model. The record is from RNAcentral.